ACGAAAGCGUUUUUAAUGCCACGUCACUUCGUUAGUGUUCGAGCUGGYACAAACGCACAAUUGCCCGAUUCAGUAUUUCGAUUAGGUCAGAGGCUCAACCUAUUUUAAGUUGAUAAAAUUCGAACGCUUUAUAAUCGAAUAAAUUGUUCCAUUCAUCAGUCAAUCAAUAACUACAAGUGACAGAACGAUGUAUUUGGAGGGCAUUGAUUAAGUUAAAUUCCUAAUAGGGAAUGGGUUUUUAAACACGUGAAUACUUGGCCGCUUACCUUCCAAUUGGCACCUUAUUUCUCUCCACAACAGCUUACAGCAUGGAUGGAUGCGAGAUGAAAUUGUAUGUAUGACGUCGGUUUUUCGACGCUGUACACAAUUAUUAUUGUAACGAUGGGAGCCGAUCGACACACAAACUGACCAAUCACAAACAGAUUUCUGAUGACACUGACC
This is a long non-coding RNA of Diuraphis noxia (Russian wheat aphid), 441 nucleotides long. The record is from RefSeq and is a predicted model, not a curated record. NCBI's taxonomy places the organism in Eukaryota, Metazoa, Arthropoda, Insecta, Hemiptera, Aphididae.